This 2804-nucleotide ribosomal RNA is filed under the name Mesorhizobium sp. STM 4661. RNAcentral's name for it is "bacterial LSU rRNA". It matches the Rfam family "Bacterial large subunit ribosomal RNA". Lineage: Bacteria; Pseudomonadati; Pseudomonadota; Alphaproteobacteria; Hyphomicrobiales; Phyllobacteriaceae. The record is from RNAcentral.
UCAAGUGUCUUAAGGGCAAUUGGUGGAUGCCUUGGCAUGCACAGGCGAUGAAGGACGUGAUACGCUGCGAUAAGCUACGGGGAGGUGCGAAUACCCUUUGAUCCGUAGAUUUCCGAAUGGGGAAACCCACCUAAGGUACUUGGAAAAUCAGAGCAGCAGGGCAACUUGCUGCUGUGGUUUCCAAGUAUCGACAAUAGGUAACUUAUCCUGAAUACAUAGGGAUAAAGUGGCGAACGCGGGGAACUGAAACAUCUAAGUACCCGUAGGAAAGGACAUCAACCGAGACUCCGGAAGUAGUGGCGAGCGAACCCGGACCAGGCCAGUGGCGAUGAUGAGACAAGCGGAACCUUCUGGAAAGUAGGGCCAUAGUGGGUGACAGCCCCGUACGCGUAAUGCAAAUCAUCGUCCUCGAGUAAGGCGGGACACGUGAAAUCCUGUCUGAAAUUGGGGGGACCACCCUCCAAGCCUAAGUACUCGUGCAUGACCGAUAGCGAACUAGUACCGUGAGGGAAAGGUGAAAAGCACCCCGACAAGGGGAGUGAAAUAGUACCUGAAACCGAUUGCCUACAAACAGUGGAAGCCCAAGGUUCGUCCUGGGUGACCACGUACCUUUUGUAUAAUGGGUCAGCGACUUAGUGUGACGAGCAAGCUUAAACCGUUAGGUGUAGGCGCAGCGAAAGCGAGUCUGAAUAGGGCGUUCAGUUCGUCGCAUUAGACCCGAAACCGAGUGAUCUAGCCAUGAGCAGGUUGAAGGUAAGGUAACACUUACUGGAGGACCGAACCCAUAACUGUUGCAAUAGUUCGGGAUGACUUGUGGCUAGGGGUGAAAGGCCAAUCAAACUCGGAAAUAGCUGGUUCUCCGCGAAAUCUAUUUAGGUAGAGCGUCGACCGAAUACCCCAGGGGGUAGAGCACUGGAUGGGCUAGGGGUCCUCACCGGAUUACCAAACCUAACCAAACUCCGAAUACCUGGGAGUAAUAGUCGGCAGACACACGGCGGGUGCUAACGUCCGUCGUGAAAAGGGAAACAACCCUGACCUACAGCUAAGGUCCCCAAGUUAUGGCUAAGUGGGAAAGGAUGUGAGGAUCCCAAAACAACCAGGAUGUUGGCUUAGAAGCAGCCAUCAUUUAAAGAAAGCGUAACAGCUCACUGGUCUAAAUAAGGGUCUUUGCGCCGAAAAUGUAACGGGGCUAAAGCCAUACACCGAAGCUUAGGGUUCGUAGCAAUACGAGCGGUAGCGGAGCGUUCUGUAAGCUGAUGAAGCCAUACCCGUGAGGGGUGGUGGAGGUAUCAGAAGUGCGAAUGCUGACAUGAGUAACGUAAGGGGAGUGAGAGACUCCCCCGCCGAAAGACCAAGGGUUCCUGCUUAAAGCUAAUCUGAGCAGGGUUAGCCGGCCCCUAAGACGAGGCGGAAACGCGUAGUCGAUGGGAACCACGUUAAUAUUCGUGGGCCUGGAGGUAGUGACGGAUCAUUGAGGUAGUCCAAUCUUAUCGGAUUGAACGGGCUGCUGCGUGGUUCCAGGAAAUAGCUCCUCCUUAUAGACCGUACCCGAAACCGACACUGGUGGUCUGGUAGAGUAUACCAAGGCGCUUGAGAGAACUAUGCUGAAGGAACUCGGCAAAUUGCACGCGUAACUUCGGAAGAAGCGUGACCCUUUUCUGCGCAAGCAGAGGAGGGUGGCACAGACCAGGGGGUAGCGACUGUUUAUCAAAAACACAGGGCUCUGCGAAGUCGCAAGACGACGUAUAGGGUCUGACGCCUGCCCGGUGCUGGAAGGUUAAGAGGAGGGGUGCAAGCUCUGAAUCGAAGCCCCAGUAAACGGCGGCCGUAACUAUAACGGUCCUAAGGUAGCGAAAUUCCUUGUCGGGUAAGUUCCGACCUGCACGAAUGGCGUAACGACUUCCCCGCUGUCUCCAGCAUAGACUCAGUGAAAUUGAAUUCCCCGUGAAGAUGCGGGGUUCCUGCGGUUAGACGGAAAGACCCCGUGCACCUUUACUAUAGCUUUACAUUGGCAUUCGUAGUGGCAUGUGUAGGAUAGGUGGUAGGCUUUGAAACCUGGGCGCCAGCUCAGGUGGAGCCACCCUUGAAAUACCACCCUUAUUACUAUGGAUGUCUAACCGCGACCCGUUAUCCGGGUCCGGGACAAUGUAUGGUGGGUAGUUUGACUGGGGCGGUCGCCUCCUAAAGAGUAACGGAGGCGCGCGAUGGUGGGCUCAGAACGGUCGGAAAUCGUUCGCUGAGUGCAAUGGCAUAAGCCUGCCUGACUGCGAGACUGACAAGUCGAGCAGAGACGAAAGUCGGUCAUAGUGAUCCGGUGGUCCCGCGUGGAAGGGCCAUCGCUCAACGGAUAAAAGGUACGCCGGGGAUAACAGGCUGAUGACCCCCAAGAGUCCAUAUCGACGGGGUUGUUUGGCACCUCGAUGUCGACUCAUCGCAUCCUGGGGCUGGAGCAGGUCCCAAGGGUAUGGCUGUUCGCCAUUUAAAGCGGUACGUGAGUUGGGUUCAGAACGUCGUGAGACAGUUCGGUCCCUAUCUGCCGUGGGUGUAGGAAUAUUGAAAGGAUCUGUCCCUAGUACGAGAGGACCGGGAUGGACGGAUCUCUGGUGGACCUGUUGUGGCGCCAGCCGCAUAGCAGGGUAGCUAUAUCCGGACGGGAUAACCGCUGAAGGCAUCUAAGCGGGAAACCCACCUUAAAACGAGUAUUCCCUGAGAACCGUGGAAGACGACCACGUUGAUAGGCCGGGUGUGGAAGAGCGGCAACGCUUGAAGCUUACCGGUACUAAUAGUUCGAUCGGCUUGAUCGU